CCAAGGAGUCUAACAUGUAUGCGAGUCAUUGGGAAAGUAAACCCAAAGGCAUAAUGAAAGUAAAGAAUUCGAUUGCGAAUUUGAGGAGAGAUCAUGGAUAUGUGUGGGCUUCCGUAAGGUUGACUGCACAUGUUAUGCGCAUCUCCUGGACGUUUAAUACCUCUUGAAGGUUGGGCGUACCAAGAGCAUACACGUUGGGACCCGAAAGAUGGUGAACUAUGCCUGGUCAGAACGAAGUCAGGGGAAACUCUGAUGGAGGUUCGUAGCGAUUCUGACGUGCAAAUCGAUCGUCGGAACUGGGUAUAGGGGCGAAAGACUAAUCGAACCAUCUAGUAGCUGGUUCCCUCCGAAGUUUCCCUCAGGAUAGCUGGCGCUUGAUUAAAUCAGUCUCAUCCGGUAAAGCGAAUGAUUAGAGGCCUUGGGGCCGAAACGACCUCAACCUAUUCUCAAACUUUAAAUGGGUGAGAAGUCAGGCUUGCUUAAUCGAAGCUCUGACAAUGGAUGGUGAGUGCCAAGUGGGCCACUCUUGGUAAGCAGGACUGGCGCUGUGGGAUGAACCAAACGUUGGGUUAAGGCGCCCGAAUCGACGCUCAUCAGAUCCCAUAAAAGGCGUUGGUUGCUUAAGACAGCAGGACGGUGGCCAUGGAAGUCGGAA
Molecule: ribosomal RNA, 655 nt
Filed under: Tetracanthella stebevae
Lineage: Eukaryota; Metazoa; Arthropoda; Collembola; Entomobryomorpha; Isotomidae
Description: eukaryotic LSU rRNA
Rfam family: Eukaryotic large subunit ribosomal RNA
Source: RNAcentral